UACGGGGGAGGCAAGCGUUGUUCGGAAUUACUGGGCGUAAAGGGCUCGUAGGUGGUCAACUAAGUCAGACGUGAAAUCCCUCGGCUUAACCGGGGAACUGCGUCUGAUACUGGAUGGCUUGAGUUUGGGAGAGGGAUGCGGAAUUCCAGGUGUAGCGGUGAAAUGCGUAGAUAUCUGGAGGAACACCGGUGGCGAAGGCGGCAUCCUGGACCAACACUGACACUGAGGAGCGAAAGCCAGGGGAGCAAACGGG
This 253-nucleotide ribosomal RNA is filed under the name uncultured bacterium. RNAcentral's name for it is "partial 16S ribosomal RNA". It matches the Rfam family "Bacterial small subunit ribosomal RNA", at positions 524 to 776 of the family's 1533-position model. The record is from RNAcentral.